Molecule: long non-coding RNA, 1717 nt
Organism: Pongo pygmaeus (Bornean orangutan)
Lineage: Eukaryota; Metazoa; Chordata; Mammalia; Primates; Hominidae
Exons: 3
Source: RefSeq, a predicted model, not a curated record
GUCCUCUCAUUCGGAGAGUUUCCCCCCAAGCGUGAGCACCCCUUGCAGGGGCGUUAGGUCCGCGGCCGCGCUGUCCAGCGGUCUGACCUGCAGCUCCCAGGGCCUUUGUGUCUGUCCCUCGCAUGGGCCUCUGCACGCUCCGUCCCCACGCGGCAGGACUCAAGUCCGAUUCGGGGCUCUGGCUCAGACCGUACCCCGCAGCGCCCCUCCUGCAAAUGCUCUCCUGAACUUUGGUUUUCCCUGCCUUGCUUUCCUCCUCCUCCUGUGGCCGCUGCCUCUCGAUCUCAGAAACUUCUCUUCCUCUGCACUCAGUGCUAGGCCAGAUCCCAAGGCGACCUGACCUUUCCGCUGGCUUUGCCCACAACACAGGCACCGGUGACUCCAAACCUGCAUCUCCCCUACGUUCCAGGCCCCAGCAUCCCACUGCAUGUUCCACAUCCCCCCGUUAGACAGCUCACCUUCCCUCCCCAAACGAUUCCUUCCACAGUCUUCAUUUUCUCAGAACGCGGCGCUAAACUCCUCUAAGUUGGAAGGCCAAAAACCUUGCAGCUAACUUUGCUUCCUCCCUCUGCCUCACCUCCAAUCCAUCAAGACCUGUUCACUCAGCCCACAAGCUGAAGGCCCCAUCUCCUGUCACCCAGACUACUCACCUUGUUUGGUUUUGCCUGGAUCUAUCAUGCUUUAAAUCUUUAAAAUGAAAUUAAAUCAUGAUCCCCUACAUCCAGCCUAAAACCCUCCGUGAAUUCCCAUUGCACCUAAAAUCCACACUCCCUACUUGGCCUAGCAGGUUCUGUAUGACCUGCCCAUCUCAUCAGUUUCAUCUCUCACAAGUGAUCCUUCACUCUCCAUUCUCCAGCCACAAGGCCUUUUUCUGGUUAUGGAACAUAAUUCAUACUCUUCGUCUUUCUGAAGCCAUUCUUGAAACUCACCCCUGCAAUCUAUCUACCCUUGUCAGCACCGCCAAAAUUGAGGACACCCACGGUCGCGGUGGAGCCUGUCUGACAUGUUGAGCCAGGCAGUGGGUCGGCUGCCAGACACAGCAGGACAACUUACUGCAUUUCAGAGUUUCUCUCCCGUCGCCCAGGCUGGCGUGCAAUGGCACAAUCUCGGCUCAUUGCAAUCUCCACCUCCCGAGUUCAAGCAGUUCUCCUGCCUCAGCCUCCUGAGUCUCUUUUGAUUCAGUGCUGUCACAGGUUGGGUUCUUUGGAUGUGGACUCUGUGACAGGCAGGCUGUAGAAGAAAAAUGACAUCCCAGCUGGAUACCAGAAAGAUCCUUCAGUAAUGAGGAUGGCCAAGGCUGGAAGAUGGAGAUGGAUGAGCAUCACAAGAUUCCAGAGUAAAAUAGAUCAAAGAACAGGGAGGUACAUGGCCAAUAUGAUUUCAUGUCUUAAAUCCUUAAUAUCCAGUAGCCACUGUGGGACAGGUCUGCCCAUCCUUAAUUACUAUAUUAUUGGCUGGAGUUACUGACUGGUUUUUAGGUCACUGAAGCACCAAGGUUCCUAUACAGAGCUACUGAGCAAAGUACUUGUUCACAAUUUUCAGUCUAACUAAAACCUUUAAGAAAAUUUAGACUUUGAAAAUUCUAAGUCUUUAGCAUAGAAUGAUUUGAAAUUACUGAUGUUAAUGUUGUGUCAUAAGAACCAAGAGGAAAAUUAAAUGAACCAAUCACAAUUCCAAAAUUCUCCAGAGGUUUAAUAAAUUCUGUAGUACCAGUUUC